RNAcentral lists this ribosomal RNA (169 nucleotides) under Citrobacter sp. Cf087. Its description in RNAcentral is "partial 16S ribosomal RNA". It matches the Rfam family "Bacterial small subunit ribosomal RNA", at positions 1 to 163 of the family's 1533-position model. Lineage: Bacteria; Pseudomonadati; Pseudomonadota; Gammaproteobacteria; Enterobacterales; Enterobacteriaceae. The record is from RNAcentral.
AAAUUGAAGAGUUUGAUCAUGGCUCAGAUUGAACGCUGGCGGCAGGCCUAACACAUGCAAGUCGAACGGUAGCACAGAGGAGCUUGCUCCUUGGGUGACGAGUGGCGGACGGGUGAGUAAUGUCUGGGAAACUGCCCGAUGGAGGGGGAUAACUACUGGAAACGGUAGC